Molecule: ribosomal RNA, 427 nt
Filed under: uncultured bacterium
Lineage: Bacteria
Description: partial 16S ribosomal RNA
Rfam family: Bacterial small subunit ribosomal RNA
Source: RNAcentral
UGGGGAAUAUUGCACAAUGGGCGCAAGCCUGAUGCAGCCAUGCCGCGUGUAUGAAGAAGGCCUUCGGGUUGUAAAGUACUUUCAGCGAGGAGGAAGGCGUUGUGGUUAAUAACCGCGACGAUUGACGUUACUCGCAGAAGAAGCACCGGCUAACUCCGUGCCAGCAGCCGCGGUAAUACGGAGGGUGCAAGCGUUAAUCGGAAUUACUGGGCGUAAAGCGCACGCAGGCGGUCUGUCAAGUCGGAUGUGAAAUCCCCGGGCUCAACCUGGGAACUGCAUCCGAAACUGGCAGGCUAGAGUCUUGUAGAGGGGGGUAGAAUUCCAGGUGUAGCGGUGAAAUGCGUAGAGAUCUGGAGGAAUACCGGUGGCGAAGGCGGCCCCCUGGACAAAGACUGACGCUCAGGUGCGAAAGCGUGGGGAGCAAACA